This 253-nucleotide ribosomal RNA is filed under the name uncultured bacterium. RNAcentral's name for it is "partial 16S ribosomal RNA". It matches the Rfam family "Bacterial small subunit ribosomal RNA", at positions 524 to 776 of the family's 1533-position model. The record is from RNAcentral.
UACGAAGGGGGCUAGCGUUGCUCGGAAUCACUGGGCGUAAAGGGCGCGUAGGCGGCGUUUUAAGCCGGGGGUGAAAGCCUGUGGCUCAACCACAGAAUGGCCUUCGAUACUGGGACGCUUGAGUAUGGUAGAGGUUGGUGGAACUGCGAGUGUAGAGGUGAAAUUCGUAGAUAUUCGCAAGAACACCGGUGGCGAAGGCGGCCAACUGGACCAUUACUGACGCUGAGGCGCGAAAGCGUGGGGAGCAAACAGG